Molecule: ribosomal RNA, 495 nt
Filed under: uncultured bacterium
Lineage: Bacteria
Description: partial 16S ribosomal RNA
Rfam family: Bacterial small subunit ribosomal RNA
Source: RNAcentral
GAUGAACGCUGGCGGCGUGCCUAAUACAUGCAAGUAGAACGCUGAAGGAGGAGCUUGCUCUUCUGGAUGAGUUGCGAACGGGUGAGUAACGCGUAGGUAACCUGCCUGGUAGCGGGGGAUAACUAUUGGAAACGAUAGCUAAUACCGCAUGACAACAGCUAUUGCAUGAUAACGGUUGAAAAGGGGCAACUGCUCCACUACCAGAUGGACCUGCGUUGUAUUAGCGAGUUGGUGAGGUAACGGCUCACCAAGGCGAGGGUACAUAGCCGACCUGAGAGGGUGGUCGGCCAGACUGGGAGUGAGACACGGCCCAGUGUGCUACGGGGGGGAGCCGUAGGGAAUCGUCGGCAAGGGGCGGGAGUCUGACCGAGCAACGCCGCGUGCGUGAAGAAGGUUUUCGGAUCGUAAAGCUCUGUUGUAAGAGAAGAACGAGUGUGAGAGUGGAAAGUUCACACUGUGACGGUAUCUUACCAGAAAGGGACGGCUAACUACGUG